UACGGAGGGGACUAGCGUUGUUCGGAAUUACUGGGCGUAAAGCGCACGUAGGCGGCUUUGUAAGUCAGGGGUGAAAUCCCGAGGCUCAACCUCGGAACUGCCUUUGAUACUGCAAAUCUCGAGUCCGGAAGAGGUGAGUGGAAUUCCUAGUGUAGAGGUGAAAUUCGUAGAUAUUAGGAAGAACACCAGUGGCGAAGGCGGCUCACUGGUCCGGUACUGACGCUGAGGUGCGAAAGCGUGGGGAGCAAACAGG
Molecule: ribosomal RNA, 253 nt
Filed under: uncultured bacterium
Lineage: Bacteria
Description: partial 16S ribosomal RNA
Rfam family: Bacterial small subunit ribosomal RNA
Source: RNAcentral